UGCUGUGGCCAUGCCACCUUGAACGUGCAUGAUCUUGGAAGCUAAGCAGGUCAGUCCUGGUUAGUACUUGGAUGGGAGACAGGAUACAGGAACAGCAGGCUGGCAGAGCCU
Molecule: ribosomal RNA, 111 nt
Filed under: Castor canadensis (American beaver)
Lineage: Eukaryota; Metazoa; Chordata; Mammalia; Rodentia; Castoridae
Source: RNAcentral